AUUGAGAUGUCCGAGUUGGUCUAAAGCGCCAGAUUAAGGUUCUGGUCCGAAAGGACGCAUGGGUUCAAAUCCUACUUUCAACA
Non-coding RNA from Zostera marina, 83 nucleotides. The record is from Rfam. Lineage: Eukaryota; Viridiplantae; Streptophyta; Magnoliopsida; Alismatales; Zosteraceae.